AUCAGCUUGGUGUAGUGGUUAUCACGUCUCGUUUACACCGAGAAGGUCACCGGUUCAAACCCGGUAGUUGAUA
This is a transfer RNA of 73 nucleotides. It matches the Rfam family "tRNA". Rfam says of the family: Transfer RNA (tRNA) molecules are approximately 80 nucleotides in length. Their secondary structure includes four short double-helical elements and three loops (D, anti-codon, and T loops). The record is from Rfam.